UACGGAGGGUGCGAGCGUUGUCAGGAAUCACUGGGCGUAAAGGGCGCGUAGGUGGCCGAGCAAGGUCGCGGUGAAAGCUUGGGGCUCAACCCCAAGUCGGCCGUGGCAACUACUUGGCUUGAGCACUGUAGGGGCGGGUGGAAUUCCGGGUGUAGCGGUGGAAUGCGUAGAGAUCCGGAAGAACACCGGUGGCGAAGGCGGCCCGCUGGGCAGGAAGGCUCGCAAGAGCCGGCUGACACUGAGGCGCGACAGCGUGGGGAGCAAACAGG
Molecule: ribosomal RNA, 269 nt
Filed under: uncultured Gemmatimonas sp.
Lineage: Bacteria; Pseudomonadati; Gemmatimonadota; Gemmatimonadia; Gemmatimonadales; Gemmatimonadaceae
Description: partial 16S ribosomal RNA
Rfam family: Bacterial small subunit ribosomal RNA
Source: RNAcentral